RNAcentral lists this ribosomal RNA (253 nucleotides) under uncultured bacterium. RNAcentral describes it as "partial 16S ribosomal RNA". It matches the Rfam family "Bacterial small subunit ribosomal RNA", at positions 524 to 776 of the family's 1533-position model. The record is from RNAcentral.
UACGUAGGGGGCUAGCGUUGUCCGGAAUCAUUGGGCGUAAAGAGCGUGUAGGCGGCCCGGUAAGUCCGCUGUAAAAGUCAAAGGCUCAACCUUUGAAUGUCAGUGGAUACUGCCGGGCUAGAGUCCGGAAGAGGCGAGUGGAACUCCUGGUGUAGCGGUGGAAUGCGCAGAUAUCAGGAAGAACACCAACGGCGAAGGCAGCUCGCUGGGCCAGUUCUGACGCUGAGGAGCGAAAGCGUGGGGAGCGAACAGG